UAGCUAGUUGGUGAGGUAACGGCUUACCAAGGCGACGAUCUGUAGCGGGUCUGAGAGGAUGAUCCGCCACACUGGAACUGAGACACGGUCCAGACUCCUACGGGAGGCAGCAGUGGGGAAUUUUGGACAAUGGGGGCAACCCUGAUCCAGCCAUGCCGCGUGAGUGAAGAAGGCCUUCGGGUUGUGAAGCUCUUUCGGCCGGGAAGAAAUCGCAUGGGCCAAUACCCUGUGUGGAUGACGGUACCGGAAUAAGAAGCACCGGCUAACUACGUGCCAGCAGCCGCGGUAAUACGUAGGGUGCGAGCGUUAAUCGGAAUUACUGGGCGUAAAGCGUGCGCAGGCGGUUUUGUAAGACAGGCGUGAAAUCCCCGGGCUCAACCUGGGAACUGCGUUUGUGACUGCAAGGCUAGAGUACGGCAGAGGGGGGUGGAAUUCCACGUGUAGCAGUGAAAUGCGUAGAGAUGUGGAGGAACACCAAUGGCGAAGGCAGCCCCCUGGGUCGAUACUGACGCUCAUGCACGAAAGCGUGGGUAGCAAACAGGAUUAGAUACCCUGGUAGUCCACGCCCUAAACUAUGUCAACUAGGUGUUGGGUGGGUAAACCAUUUAGUACCGUAGCUAACGCGUGAAGUUGACCGCCUGGGGAGUACGGCCGCAAGGUUAAAACUCAAAGGAAUUGACGGGGACCCGCACAAGCGGUGGAUGAUGUGGAUUAAUUCGAUGCAACGCGAAAAACCUUACCUACCCUUGACAUGCCAGGAACUUGCCAGAGAUGGCUUGGUGCCCGAAAGGGAGCCUGGACACAGGUGCUGCAUGGCUGUCGUCAGCUCGUGUCGUGAGAUGUUGGGUUAAGUCCCGCAACGAGCGCAACCCUUGUCGUUAAUUGCCAUCAUUUAGUUGGGCACUUUAGCGAGACUGCCGGUGACAAACCGGAGGAAGGUGGGGAUGACGUCAAGUCCUCAUGGCCCUUAUGGGUAGGGCUUCACACGUCAUACAAUGGUCGGUACAGAGGGUCGCCAAGCCGCGAGGUGGAGCCAAUCCCAGAAAGCCGAUCGUAGUCCGGAUUGCAGGCUGCAGCUCGCCUGCAUGAAGUCGGAAUCGCUAGUAAUCGUGGAUCAGCAUGUCACGGUGAAUACGUUCCCGGGUCUUGUACACACCGCCCGUCACACCAUGGGAGCGGGUUCCGCCAGAAGUAGGUAGCCUAACCGCAAGGAGGGCGCUUACCACGGCGGGGUUCGUGACUGGGGUGAAGUCGGAACAAGGUAGCCGUAGGGGAACCUGCGGCUG
RNAcentral lists this ribosomal RNA (1286 nucleotides) under metagenome. RNAcentral describes it as "bacterial SSU rRNA". It matches the Rfam family "Bacterial small subunit ribosomal RNA", at positions 242 to 1520 of the family's 1533-position model. The record is from RNAcentral.